RNAcentral lists this transfer RNA (74 nucleotides) under Ablepharus himalayanus (Himalaya ground skink). Its description in RNAcentral is "tRNA-Phe". It matches the Rfam family "tRNA". Rfam says of the family: Transfer RNA (tRNA) molecules are approximately 80 nucleotides in length. Their secondary structure includes four short double-helical elements and three loops (D, anti-codon, and T loops). The record is from RNAcentral. Lineage: Eukaryota; Metazoa; Chordata; Lepidosauria; Squamata; Scincidae.
GUUAUUGUAGCUUAAAUUUGUAAAGCACGACACUGAAGAUGCCGAGAUGGAUUUUUAACAUAACCCAAGUAACA